CGUCGCUGCCAUGAAUGCUGCGGGGACCAUCGUUGCAAUUUAAUUAAUUGACCAUGUUGGUCGGAAAAAACUGGCCCUCGCGAGUUUAUCCGGUGUGUUGGCAUCCUUGGCAAUUCUCUCCGGUGCAUUCUUUGCAGAAUCCUCCGAUUCCACAAACCGGGUAUACAGUGAACUCGGAGAUAUACCCCGAGGCAUAUCGUGGAAUAUGUGGUGGCAUGUCGGCCUCCGUCAGUUGGAUUUCAAACUUGAUUGUGGCUCAGACAUUUCUUAGCAUCGCUGACGCCGUGGGGAAAGGUGCGACGUUCUUGACUCUUGCGUGCGUAGCCGUGUUGGCCUCGUGUUUGUGGUCAUAUUUGUGUGGAGAAGAUAUGGAAAGAGAGAGCUUGUGGAAGUAGCGAAGGAAAAGACAGUACAGACGGCCUCCUUGAAGAUGAAGCUCGAGUGGUACGAACCCUUGUUUAUCCAUUAGAUAUAGUAGGUACAGCAAUAGAAUGAGCAUCCAGCAGAUCUGCCCCUUUGCCUGGAGUGUUAGUUAAGGUUGACGGGUCCAUUGGCUGCGGAUAGUUUCCAACUUAAGGAAAUAAAUGUGUAUUCCGGAUUUUGCGUUGCCCUAAAAUGCCAACUGCGAGUUUCUUGACUGUAUCUGUCUGUUUAAAACAUGUUGUCUGGUUGGUAAGUCAAGUGGAGAGCACGGAUUUAGGUCAUCCCUCCCUGUGACUCAAUAGAAAUACAUGCCAGGGAUGAGGGCAAGAGGAUGAGCCGAUAGGUGGAAAAGUCCAGAGUGAAAUAUCCUUUCUUUGUUAACACCUGUGUUGCUCGACACGGAUCUUCUUCUUUGCAUUGUACAUCCAAAUGAUAUAACAUCUAGACUAAUGAUUUAUGUA
This is a long non-coding RNA of Eucalyptus grandis, 884 nucleotides long. RefSeq lists it as uncharacterized. The record is from RefSeq and is a predicted model, not a curated record. NCBI's taxonomy places the organism in Eukaryota, Viridiplantae, Streptophyta, Magnoliopsida, Myrtales, Myrtaceae. The transcript has 2 exons.